Molecule: unclassified non-coding RNA, 18 nt
Filed under: Mus musculus (house mouse)
Lineage: Eukaryota; Metazoa; Chordata; Mammalia; Rodentia; Muridae
Description: oocyte_clustered_small_RNA8553
Source: RNAcentral
CAUGAUGUUUGUUGCAGG